GAUCCAGACUCCUACGGGAGGCAGCAGUGGGGAAUAUUGCACAAUGGGGGGAACCCUGAUGCAGCGACGCCGCGUGGGUGAAGGAGCACCUCGGUGCGUAAAGCCCUAUCGGCAGGGAAGAAACAGACGGUACCUGACUAAGAAGCCCCGGCUAACUACGUGCCAGCAGCCGCGGGAAUACGUAGGGGGCAAGCGUUAUCCGGAUUUACUGGGUGUAAAGGGAGCGUAGACGGCAUGGCAAGUCAGAUGUGAAAGCCCGGGGCUCAACCCCGGGACUGCAUUUGAAACUGUCAGGCUGGAGUGCAGGAGAGGUAAGUGGAAUUCCUAGUGUAGCGGUGAAAUGCGUAGAUAUUAGGAGGAACACCAGUGGCGAAGGCGGCUUACUGGACUGUAACUGACGUUGAGGCUCGAAAGCGUGGGGAGCAAACAGGAUUAGAUACCCCCGUACC
This 449-nucleotide ribosomal RNA is filed under the name uncultured bacterium. RNAcentral describes it as "partial 16S ribosomal RNA". It matches the Rfam family "Bacterial small subunit ribosomal RNA", at positions 328 to 794 of the family's 1533-position model. The record is from RNAcentral.